AAGGUGGGGAUGACGUCAAGUCCUCAUGGCCCUUAUAGGUGGGGCUACACACGUCAUACAAUGGCUGGUACAAAGGGUUGCCAACCCGCGAGGGGGAGCCAAUCCCAUAAAGCCAGUCGUAGUCCGGAUCGUAGUCUGCAACUCGACUACGUGAAGUCGGAAUCGCUAGUAAUCGUGGAUCAGAAUGUCACGGUGAAUACGUUCCCGGGUCUU
RNAcentral lists this ribosomal RNA (213 nucleotides) under uncultured Rhodoferax sp. RNAcentral's name for it is "partial 16S ribosomal RNA". It matches the Rfam family "Bacterial small subunit ribosomal RNA", at positions 1170 to 1382 of the family's 1533-position model. The record is from RNAcentral. Lineage: Bacteria; Pseudomonadati; Pseudomonadota; Betaproteobacteria; Burkholderiales; Comamonadaceae.